UAUACAUCAAAAAUAUGCCACCAUUUCCCCUCCUCAAAGACAUUAUAUUUACUUUCCCCCGUUUUCUUACAAACAGGGAAAAAAAUGAAGUGCAGAAAACAAUUCAAUCUGUGCGCAGCCUCUUCCUCCAGGGAAAAGGCGUGCAGGGGACGAACCCCCACUGGACGAGGUUGCUGCUGUUGUGCUGCUGCCACCGCCGCCGCCUCGGUUUUCACACAACUUGAACUCCUAGUGCACAGAGGAGAGAGGACACCCCCCCUACCUCGCCACGGUUCCUACUUUUCAUGGGGGGGGGAAUCUUCUAGGGUCAAGACAUUUGCUUUGGCUUUCCUAAAACUCACUGCGCCGGCCGCUGGCGAGGAUAAUCCAGCCCAAACCAAGAUCCUUUUGAAUUUCAGCUGCACCCUUUAGAAUUUGCCAGAGCACAUUCAACAUAAUCAUACAUUUCUGCAGUAAUUUACUAGCUUCGUAUCCUUCCAGAUUAUACACUGUAGAACAAAGGCAUCCGAACAAACUGGACCAGCCAUUCUCCAUCAAUUCAUGAGAAGAGAAAUAGCAUUUGAAAAUCUUUAAAGGGGAGAUAACAUUACUUUGAAAUCCUCAAGGAUGGACAUUUUGUGUGUGGAGUUUUUCUUGCCCUUAUCAUCAUGGAGGUAAAGGAAUGUAUUUUCUUGCAUUCUACAAAUCAUUUCCAGUGGUCUACAUUCCAGAGCCUUCCUAGGUGCCUGCAUUUGCUGAAAACCUCCCAGUGUCCUCAGCUGGGCUUUCCUAUGACUGUGGAAUGCAGGGUGGUAACAUACCAUGCACCUGACAGCUGUUUGUUGUCAUUUUAAGUUAAGUCUUUCUUACUGUUGAAAAAAUCAGGUGGUUUUUUUACAGUGAAACAAAGGAGCCCUUAAAAACAAACACUGUGAGUGUACCUAUCUCAGAUGCUUGGUAGCCAGCCUCCCUGGGUUCCCAUGCUUAUUUAUUUAUUUUAUUUAUUAUUUGAUUUAUAUCCCACCCUUUCUCCCAGCAGGAGCCCAGGGCAGCGAAUUUAAAUGCUUCAAUUUAAGCUUGUAGUAAACCUGUUGUAAUUAGUAGUAAUUCCUCCAGUUGGCCUUUUCUCAGAUCAGGAAAUGUGGGCAGCUGGAGAGGCCAGAGAGCAUUGCAGAAAUGUUUAAUGGAAAGGGUUGGAGGAACCCAUUGACUUCAGCCACUUUGCAACAAGAAGGUAAACUCAGCUGUGUCCCUCCCAAAAUUCUAAAUUGUCUUGAGAACGAGGAAGAAAACUUACGAGAGAUUGGAAGACAGGUUUUGGCACAGCUGCCCUCAUUAUGGCUCCCGUGCACAGUCAUUGCUGCUUGAGUGUUUUUGAGAUGGUGGCUUGAAAUGUUAUCUGCAGCUGGGUGAUCCCCCAUUUGCAAGUCACUGCUUGCCAUCAACCUCUUGUGACUACUCUCUGUCUAAGCUACAGAGUUUGAAAUGAUGGCCUAGGGCAAUCCAUUCACCUGGGUCCAACUAACAAGAAGAAUGAGGCUUUCCUAACAAAAAGCCAUUUAUCAAAAUUCAUGGCUUUUCAAGACAAUACAAGGAGCACAACUUAAGGAAGCAAUCAUACUUUCAGGAAAGUAGUACUGAGCAAGUUAGAAUUUUGUAAUUUAUUUCAAUGCGAAGUCCUAUGAAUUUGGGGUAGGUUUUUUUAAAAGAAAAUGUAAUGCAAUUGUAAACAACUUGUCUGUAAUCCCUAAGAGUUUGAUGAA
Long non-coding RNA from Rhineura floridana, 1742 nucleotides. RefSeq lists it as uncharacterized. The transcript has 3 exons. Lineage: Eukaryota; Metazoa; Chordata; Lepidosauria; Squamata; Rhineuridae. The record is from RefSeq and is a predicted model, not a curated record.